Molecule: ribosomal RNA, 2920 nt
Filed under: Shigella sonnei
Lineage: Bacteria; Pseudomonadati; Pseudomonadota; Gammaproteobacteria; Enterobacterales; Enterobacteriaceae
Description: bacterial LSU rRNA
Rfam family: Bacterial large subunit ribosomal RNA
Source: RNAcentral
CGAAGGUUAAGCGACUAAGCGUACACGGUGGAUGCCCUGGCAGUCAGAGGCGAUGAAGGACGUGCUAAUCUGCGAUAAGCGUCGGUAAGGUGAUAUGAACCGUUAUAACCGGCGAUUUCCGAAUGGGGAAACCCAGUGUGAUUCGUCACACUAUCAUUAACUGAAUCCAUAGGUUAAUGAGGCGAACCGGGGGAACUGAAACAUCUAAGUACCCCGAGGAAAAGAAAUCAACCGAGAUUCCCCCAGUAGCGGCGAGCGAACGGGGAGCAGCCCAGAGCCUGAAUCAGUGUGUGUGUUAGUGGAAGCGUCUGGAAAGGCGCGCGAUACAGGGUGACAGCCCCGUACACAAAAAUACACAUAUUGUGAGCUCGAUGAGUAGGGCGGGACACGUGGUAUCCUGUCUGAAUAUGGGGGGACCAUCCUCCAAGGCUAAAUACUCCUGACUGACCGAUAGUGAACCAGUACCGUGAGGGAAAGGCGAAAAGAACCCCGGCGAGGGGAGUGAAAAAGAACCUGAAACCGUGUACGUACAAGCAGUGGGAGCACGCUUAGGCGUGUGACUGCGUACCUUUUGUAUAAUGGGUCAGCGACUUAUAUUCUGUAGCAAGGUUAACCGAAUAGGGGAGCCGAAGGGAAACCGAGUCUUAACUGGGCGUUAAGUUGCAGGGUAUAGACCCGAAACCCGGUGAUCUAGCCAUGGGCAGGUUGAAGGUUGGGUAACACUAACUGGAGGACCGAACCGACUAAUGUUGAAAAAUUAGCGGAUGACUUGUGGCUGGGGGUGAAAGGCCAAUCAAACCGGGAGAUAGCUGGUUCUCCCCGAAAGCUAUUUAGGUAGCGCCUCGUGAAUUCAUCUCCGGGGGUAGAGCACUGUUUCGGCAAGGGGGUCAUCCCGACUUACCAACCCGAUGCAAACUGCGAAUACCGGAGAAUGUUAUCACGGGAGACACACGGCGGGUGCUAACGUCCGUCGUGAAGAGGGAAACAACCCAGACCGCCAGCUAAGGUCCCAAAGUCAUGGUUAAGUGGGAAACGAUGUGGGAAGGCCCAGACAGCCAGGAUGUUGGCUUAGAAGCAGCCAUCAUUUAAAGAAAGCGUAAUAGCUCACUGGUCGAGUCGGCCUGCGCGGAAGAUGUAACGGGGCUAAACCAUGCACCGAAGCUGCGGCAGCGACGCUUAUGCGUUGUUGGGUAGGGGAGCGUUCUGUAAGCCUGCGAAGGUGUGCUGUGAGGCAUGCUGGAGGUAUCAGAAGUGCGAAUGCUGACAUAAGUAACGAUAAAGCGGGUGAAAAGCCCGCUCGCCGGAAGACCAAGGGUUCCUGUCCAACGUUAAUCGGGGCAGGGUGAGUCGACCCCUAAGGCGAGGCCGAAAGGCGUAGUCGAUGGGAAACAGGUUAAUAUUCCUGUACUUGGUGUUACUGCGAAGGGGGGACGGAGAAGGCUAUGUUGGCCGGGCGACGGUUGUCCCGGUUUAAGCGUGUAGGCUGGUUUUCCAGGCAAAUCCGGAAAAUCAAGGCUGAGGCGUGAUGACGAGGCACUACGGUGCUGAAGCAACAAAUGCCCUGCUUCCAGGAAAAGCCUCUAAGCAUCAGGUAACAUCAAAUCGUACCCCAAACCGACACAGGUGGUCAGGUAGAGAAUACCAAGGCGCUUGAGAGAACUCGGGUGAAGGAACUAGGCAAAAUGGUGCCGUAACUUCGGGAGAAGGCACGCUGAUAUGUAGGUGAAGUCCCUUGCGGAUGGAGCUGAAAUCAGUCGAAGAUACCAGCUGGCUGCAACUGUUUAUUAAAAACACAGCACUGUGCAAACACGAAAGUGGACGUAUACGGUGUGACGCCUGCCCGGUGCCGGAAGGUUAAUUGAUGGGGUCAGCGCAAGCGAAGCUCUUGAUCGAAGCCCCGGUAAACGGCGGCCGUAACUAUAACGGUCCUAAGGUAGCGAAAUUCCUUGUCGGGUAAGUUCCGACCUGCACGAAUGGCGUAAUGAUGGCCAGGCUGUCUCCACCCGAGACUCAGUGAAAUUGAACUCGCUGUGAAGAUGCAGUGUACCCGCGGCAAGACGGAAAGACCCCGUGAACCUUUACUAUAGCUUGACACUGAACAUUGAGCCUUGAUGUGUAGGAUAGGUGGGAGGCUUUGAAGUGUGGACGCCAGUCUGCAUGGAGCCGGCCUUGAAAUACCACCCUUUAAUGUUUGAUGUUCUAACGUGGACCCGUGAUCCGGGUUGCGGACAGUGUCUGGUGGGUAGUUUGACUGGGGCGGUCUCCUCCUAAAGAGUAACGGAGGAGCACGAAGGUUGGCUAAUCCUGGUCGGACAUCAGGAGGUUAGUGCAAUGGCAUAAGCCAGCUUGACUGCGAGCGUGACGGCGCGAGCAGGUGCGAAAGCAGGUCAUAGUGAUCCGGUGGUUCUGAAUGGAAGGGCCAUCGCUCAACGGAUAAAAGGUACUCCGGGGAUAACAGGCUGAUACCGCCCAAGAGUUCAUAUCGACGGCGGUGUUUGGCACCUCGAUGUCGGCUCAUCACAUCCUGGGGCUGAAGUAGGUCCCAAGGGUAUGGCUGUUCGCCAUUUAAAGUGGUACGCGAGCUGGGUUUAGAACGUCGUGAGACAGUUCGGUCCCUAUCUGCCGUGGGCGCUGGAGAACUGAGGGGGGCUGCUCCUAGUACGAGAGGACCGGAGUGGACGCAUCACUGGUGUUCGGGUUGUCAUGCCAAUGGCACUGCCCGGUAGCUAAAUGCGGAAGAGAUAAGUGCUGAAAGCAUCUAAGCACGAAACUUGCCCCGAGAUGAGUUCUCCCUGACCCUUUAAGGGUCCUGAAGGAACGUUGAAGACGACGACGUUGAUAGGCCGGGUGUGUAAGCGCAGCGAUGCGUUGAGCUAACCGGUACUAAUGAACCGUGAGGCUUAACCUUACAACGCCGAAG